RNAcentral lists this ribosomal RNA (446 nucleotides) under uncultured bacterium. Its description in RNAcentral is "bacterial SSU rRNA". It matches the Rfam family "Bacterial small subunit ribosomal RNA", at positions 29 to 462 of the family's 1533-position model. The record is from RNAcentral.
AGCGAACGCUGGCGGCGUGGUUAAGGCAUGCAAGUCGAGCGAUCCCGCAGCAAUGCGGGAUAGCGGCAAACGGGUGAGUAACGCGUAGGUAACCUACCCUGAAGUGUGGGACAACCCUGCGAAAGCGGGGCUAAUACCACAUGCGCUCGCAGACUGCAUGGUCUGCGAGGAAAGAUGGCCUCGACCGAAAGGUUGCUAUCACUUUAGGAGGGACCUGCGUCCCAUCAGCUAGUUGGUAGGGUAACGGCCUACCAAGGCAUAUGACGGGUAGCUAGCCUUAGAGGGCGGUUAGCCACACUGGGACUGAGACACUGCCCAGACUCCUACGGGAGGCUGCAGUCGAGAAUAUUUGGCAAUGGGCGAAAGCCUGACCAUGCGACGCCGCGUGCGGGAUGAAGGCCUUCGGGUCGUAACCGCUGUUACGAGGAACGAACGCUCCAUCUGCG